RNAcentral lists this unclassified non-coding RNA (440 nucleotides) under Hevea brasiliensis (rubber tree). Lineage: Eukaryota; Viridiplantae; Streptophyta; Magnoliopsida; Malpighiales; Euphorbiaceae. The record is from RNAcentral.
AUUUACUCAAUCCAUGUCUCCCUCUUCUAAUGGCGUUUCUCACUCUUCUGUGAACUGGCAGCAGCCAAAUGUGCCGACUCUUCAUUUACCAGGAAGUAACCUUCAAUCCAGCCGGUUGAGGUCAUCUCUGAAUGCCAGGGAUAUGCCUUUAGAGGAUUUAAAUGUCUUGCCAGACUUUGACAACCAGCCACGGAUUUUGAAUGAUUUGAACUGUUUCUCUCAGCCUCGCCCGAGUGCUGUGUCUGUUAGCCGAUCUGGUUGGACCCAAACUCUAACUCCUAACAACCUUGAAGAGCUUUUUUCUUCUGAGAUCUCUUCGUCUCCCAGAUUUUCCGAUCCAGCUGCCAAUGCCUUUUCCCCUACCCGCAAAUCAACUAUGCUAAACCAAUUCCAGCAGCAGCAGCAGAACAUGUUGUCACCUAUUAAUACAAGCAUUAUGU